Molecule: long non-coding RNA, 516 nt
Organism: Gavialis gangeticus (Gharial)
Lineage: Eukaryota; Metazoa; Chordata; Crocodylia; Gavialidae
Exons: 3
Source: RefSeq, a predicted model, not a curated record
AUCAAAGAAGCACCCAACUCUCACUGUCACUCUCUCCUGCUAACAGAAACAUCCUGCACCUAGCCCCUCCAUUCAAACCGCUGUUACCAAUUGCAAGAGGUCUCCUCUACUUCCUUACAUCAGGGGGUGAGGUGAGGUACAGCUCAUCGUACACAAAUUGGUGAGAUGUGAGCGUCAUUAAUGAAGUAGAGUAACCCUCAUCAGUUUGGCCUUCAGUGGUGUGUCAAGAAGGUAACCUGAAGAGCAAAGAAGAAACUAGCAGAAAAAGGGUGGGGAAAUGCUAGAUUAAACACAGAAGCGUGGAACCAUCAGAAUUUAAACAGCAGUAGCACUUCCUACUCUGCUAGGCCACAGUCUUCUGCUGACUUGUCUUCCCCAUAUUUUACAUUCAAAACUGAAGUUUUGUUUUUUUCUGGAAGCCGCCCGGGGCAGCAGUUAACAGGAUGCCCCAAUUAGCAAAAAAAAAAAAAACCAACAUAAAAGGCUGAAGAAGAACAGAGACUACUGAAAACAGAA